This 355-nucleotide unclassified non-coding RNA is filed under the name Melitaea cinxia (Glanville fritillary). RNAcentral describes it as "misc RNA ENSMCXG00005010959.1". Lineage: Eukaryota; Metazoa; Arthropoda; Insecta; Lepidoptera; Nymphalidae. The record is from RNAcentral.
CGAUUGUGUCGACAUAACACUAACUGACAUCCGAAGUGUUCCACUUUUGAUAAAUGAUAACUUAAUGGUGUAAGUUCAAGGCGAAUUUUGAUAAAACGGUAAAAGUUUUCGGAAUUAGGUAAACAAUAUUGAAAAAUAUGUCCGUCGUAAACGUUGGUAUCAGUUACUGGAUUAAUUUAAAGUCAGCUUAUUAUGUAGUAUGCUGUAGCGGCGACUGGUCAAAGUUCUAGAAACCGCAAUAGAGGGUCAUUUAACAAAGUCUGAUGUAUUGAGUUAAUUACUUGUACAACUACGAGCUAGAACACUUAAGAUAAAGAAGUGGACCUUGAUGAAAUUCCAGAACAGGUCUUUCGAU